GGUGAGUAACACGUGGGUAACCUACCCAGGGCUGGGGGAUAACACAGGGAAACUUGUGCUAAUACCGCAUAAUACAGUUAGAGGGCAUCCUCUGAUUGUCAAAGGAGUAAUCCGGCUUUAGAUGGACCCGCGUCCGAUUAGCUAGUUGGUGUGGUAAUGGCUCACCAAGGCGACGAUCGGUAGCCGAACUGAGAGGUUGAUCGGCCACAUUGGGACUGAGACACGGCCCAGACUCC
This 236-nucleotide ribosomal RNA is filed under the name uncultured bacterium. Its description in RNAcentral is "partial 16S ribosomal RNA". It matches the Rfam family "Bacterial small subunit ribosomal RNA", at positions 105 to 339 of the family's 1533-position model. The record is from RNAcentral.